UGUAAAAUAGUGUAAGGAGCACAUAAGCCUUUGAAGCCUAUAGAUUAGGUUCAAUUCCUAAUUUUACAA
RNAcentral lists this transfer RNA (69 nucleotides) under Glycera dibranchiata. RNAcentral's name for it is "tRNA-Gln". It matches the Rfam family "tRNA". From Rfam's summary of the family: Transfer RNA (tRNA) molecules are approximately 80 nucleotides in length. Their secondary structure includes four short double-helical elements and three loops (D, anti-codon, and T loops). The record is from RNAcentral. RNAcentral also lists the same sequence under 1 other name. Lineage: Eukaryota; Metazoa; Annelida; Polychaeta; Phyllodocida; Glyceridae.